This 235-nucleotide long non-coding RNA is filed under the name Crocodylus porosus (Australian saltwater crocodile). RNAcentral describes it as "lncRNA (ENSCPRG00005008540.1)". The record is from RNAcentral. Lineage: Eukaryota; Metazoa; Chordata; Crocodylia; Crocodylidae.
AGAAAGAAACUUCCAACAGAAUGAGAUGUUCUGAAGAGCCCUGCAUGAAAUUUUAAAGAAGCUGGACCUUUCAUCUGCACAACAGCAGGACACCUCACUGUAGGGACAAGAAAGGAAGAGAGAAAAACUGUUUCUGAAGCAAUAGCAAAAAAUAACAGCAGAAGCAAUUAUUUCAUCAAAGUUUUCAGAUGGGCUGGCAAAAGUUUAGCAUUAUAAACCAAACAGCCAACUGGAG